Molecule: ribosomal RNA, 301 nt
Filed under: uncultured bacterium
Lineage: Bacteria
Description: partial 16S ribosomal RNA
Rfam family: Bacterial small subunit ribosomal RNA
Source: RNAcentral
CAGUAGCCGCGGUAAUACGAAGGGUGCAAGCGUUAAUCGGAAUUACUGGGCGUAAAGCGCGCGUAGGUGGUUCAGUAAGUUGGAAGUGAAAUCCCCGGGCUCAACCUGGGAACUGCUUUCAAAACUGCUGAGCUAGAGUACGGUAGAAGGUGGUGGAAUUUCCUGUGUAGCGGUGAAAUGCGUAGAUAUAGGAAGGAACACCAGUGGCGAAGGCGACCACCUGGACUGAUACUGACACUGAGGUGCGAAAGCGUGGGGAGCAAACUGGAUUAGAGACCCGUGUAGUCCCUGUCUCUUAUAC